AGUGAACGCUGGCGGUAGGCCUAACACAUGCAAGUCGAACGGCAGCACAGUAAGAGCUUGCUCUUACGGGUGGCGAGUGGCGGACGGGUGAGGAAUACAUCGGAAUCUACUUUUUCGUGGGGGAUAACGUAGGGAAACUUACGCUAAUACCGCAUACGACCUACGGGUGAAAGCAGGGGAUCUUCGGACCUUGCGCGAUUGAAUGAGCCGAUGUCGGAUUGGCUAGUUGGCGGGGUAAAGGCCCACCAAGGCGACGAUCCGUAGCUGGUCUGAGAGGAUGAUCAACCACACUGGAACUGAGACACGGUCCAGACUCCUACGGGAGGCAGCAGUGGGGAAUAUUGGACAAUGGGCGCAAGCCUGAUCCAGCCAUACCGCGUGGGUGAAGAAGGCCUUCGGGUUGUAAAGCCCUUUUGUUGGGAAAGAAAAGCAGCAGGUUAAUACCCCGCUGUUCUGACGGUACCCAAAGAAUAAGCACCGGCUAACUUCGUG
This 492-nucleotide ribosomal RNA is filed under the name uncultured bacterium. RNAcentral describes it as "partial 16S ribosomal RNA". It matches the Rfam family "Bacterial small subunit ribosomal RNA", at positions 29 to 507 of the family's 1533-position model. The record is from RNAcentral.